AGUUCUUCGGUAAGGCAAUGGACGAUUCGCUCCGUGCCUCCGUAAAGCUUCGGCGGGACGCGUUCUGCAAGGGGUGCGAUCUGCGCAAUUUUCAUCGCUCAACUCCUGAUAUCGAGGGGCGUCGGCAGGACGUCCCUCGGCGAUAAGAA
This 149-nucleotide small RNA is filed under the name Sinorhizobium meliloti 2011. Its description in RNAcentral is "putative ncRNA". Lineage: Bacteria; Pseudomonadati; Pseudomonadota; Alphaproteobacteria; Hyphomicrobiales; Rhizobiaceae. The record is from RNAcentral.